UGUGGCUGGGGGUGAAAGGCCAAUCAAACCGGGAGAUAGCUGGUUCUCCCCGAAAGCUAUUUAGGUAGCGCCUCGUGAAUUCAUCUCCGGGGGUAGAGCACUGUUUCGGCAAGGGGGUCAUCCCGACUUACCAACCCGAUGCAAACUGCGAAUACCGGAGAAUGUUAUCACGGGAGACACACGGCGGGUGCUAACGUCCGUCGUGAAGAGGGAAACAACCCAGACCGCCAGCUAAGGUCCCAAAGUCAUGGUUAAGUGGGAAACGAUGUGGGAAGGCACAGACAGCCAGGAUGUUGGCUUAGAAGCAGCCAUCAUUUAAAGAAAGCGUAAUAGCUCACUGGUCGAGUCGGCCUGCGCGGAAGAUGUAACGGGGCUAAACCAUGCACCGAAGCUGCGGCAGCGACACUAUGUGUUGUUGGGUAGGGGAGCGUUCUGUAAGCCUGUGAAGGUGUGCUGUGAGGCAUGCUGGAGGUAUCAGAAGUGCGAAUGCUGACAUAAGUAACGAUAAAGCGGGUGAAAAGCCCGCUCGCCGGAAGACCAAGGGUUCCUGUCCAACGUUAAUCGGGGCAGGGUGAGUCGACCCCUAAGGCGAGGCCGAAAGGCGUAGUCGAUGGGAAACAGGUUAAUAUUCCUGUACUUGGUGUUACUGCGAAGGGGGGACGGAGAAGGCUAUGUUGGCCGGGCGACGGUUGUCCCGGUUUAAGCGUGUAGGCUGGUUUUCCAGGCAAAUCCGGAAAAUCAAGGCUGAGGCGUGAUGACGAGGCACUACGGUGCUGAAGCAACAAAUGCCCUGCUUCCAGGAAAAGCCUCUAAGCAUCAGGUAACAUCAAAUCGUACCCCAAACCGACACAGGUGGUCAGGUAGAGAAUACCAAGGCGCUUGAGAGAACUCGGGUGAAGGAACUAGGCAAAAUGGUGCCGUAACUUCGGGAGAAGGCACGCUGAUAUGUAGGUGAAGCCCCUGCGGGUGGAGCUGAAAUCAGUCGAAGAUACCAGCUGGCUGCAACUGUUUAUUAAAAACACAGCACUGUGCAAACACGAAAGUGGACGUAUACGGUGUGACGCCUGCCCGGUGCCGGAAGGUUAAUUGAUGGGGUUAGCGGUAACGCGAAGCUCUUGAUCGAAGCCCCGGUAAACGGCGGCCGUAACUAUAACGGUCCUAAGGUAGCGAAAUUCCUUGUCGGGU
Molecule: ribosomal RNA, 1185 nt
Filed under: metagenome
Description: bacterial LSU rRNA
Rfam family: Bacterial large subunit ribosomal RNA
Source: RNAcentral